AUUGAACGCUGGCGGCAUGCCUUACACAUGCAAGUCGAACGGCAGCACGGGUGCUUGCACCUGGUGGCGAGUGGCGAACGGGUGAGUAAUACAUCGGAACAUGUCCUGUAGUGGGGGAUAGCCCGGCGAAAGCCGGAUUAAUACCGCAUACGAUCUACGGAUGAAAGCGGGGGACCUUCGAGCCUCGCGCUAUAGGGUUGGCCGAUGGCUGAUUAGCUAGUUGGUGGGGUAAAGGCCUACCAAGGCGACGAUCAGUAGCUGGUCUGAGAGGACGACCAGCCACACUGGGACUGAGACACGGCCCAGACUCCUACGGGAGGCAGCAGUGGGGAAUUUUGGACAAUGGGCGAAAGCCUGAUCCAGCAAUGCCGCGUGUGUGAAGAAGGCCUUCGGGUUGUAAAGCACUUUUGUCCGGAAAGAAAUCCUUGGCCCUAAUACGGUCGGGGGAUGACGGUACCGGAAGAAUAAGCACCGGCUAACUACGUG
Molecule: ribosomal RNA, 486 nt
Filed under: uncultured bacterium
Lineage: Bacteria
Description: partial 16S ribosomal RNA
Rfam family: Bacterial small subunit ribosomal RNA
Source: RNAcentral